GUUGAGCUAACCCGUACUAAUUGCCCGUGAGACUUAACCAUACAACACCCAAGGUGUUUGGUGUCGUUAAGCACAAGUUGAUAACCUUUACCAAAGCAAGUAGGUCGCGCUUUUAGCGCGACAAGAGUGGCAUCACAAUCAGCCUUUCAGUUGUUACAACAGUUUUUGUCUGGCGGCCAUAGCGGUAUGGCACCACCUGGCUCCAUUCCGAACCCAGCAGUGAAACAUACCAGCGCCGAUGGUAGUGUGGGGCUUCCCCAUGUGAGAGUAGGACACCGCCAGAC
This 284-nucleotide ribosomal RNA is filed under the name Idiomarina aquatica. The record is from RNAcentral. Lineage: Bacteria; Pseudomonadati; Pseudomonadota; Gammaproteobacteria; Alteromonadales; Idiomarinaceae.